This 253-nucleotide ribosomal RNA is filed under the name uncultured bacterium. RNAcentral describes it as "partial 16S ribosomal RNA". It matches the Rfam family "Bacterial small subunit ribosomal RNA", at positions 524 to 776 of the family's 1533-position model. The record is from RNAcentral.
UACGUAGGUGGCAAGCGUUGUCCGGAAUUAUUGGGCGUAAAGCGCGCGCAGGUGGUUUCUUAAGUCUGAUGUGAAAGCCCACGGCUCAACCGUGGAGGGUCAUUGGAAACUGGGGAACUUGAGUGCAGAAGAGGAAAGUGGAAUUCCAAGUGUAGCGGUGAAAUGCGUAGAGAUUUGGAGGAACACCAGUGGCGAAGGCGACUUUCUGGUCUGUAACUGACUCUGAGGCGCGAAAGCGUGGGGAGCGAACAGG